CAGAGGUUAAACCGCAGCCGGAAAAACCAAAACCAGAGGUUUGUACCCAUGCCGAACACAGAAGUUAAGCCCUAGAACGCCGGAAGUAGUUGGGGGUUGCCCCCUGUGAGAUAGGGAAGUCGCUUAGCU
This 129-nucleotide ribosomal RNA is filed under the name Streptococcus pneumoniae. The record is from RNAcentral. Lineage: Bacteria; Bacillati; Bacillota; Bacilli; Lactobacillales; Streptococcaceae.